Molecule: ribosomal RNA, 253 nt
Filed under: uncultured bacterium
Lineage: Bacteria
Description: partial 16S ribosomal RNA
Rfam family: Bacterial small subunit ribosomal RNA
Source: RNAcentral
UACGUAGGGCGCAAGCGUUGUCCGGAAUUAUUGGGCGUAAAGAGCUCGUAGGUGGCUUGUCGCGUCGGGUGUGAAAGCUUGGGGCUUAACUCCAGGUCUGCAUUCGAUACGGGCUGGCUAGAGGUAGGUAGGGGAGAAUGGAAUUCCCGGUGUAGCGGUGAAAUGCGCAGAUAUCGGGAGGAACACCGGUGGCGAAGGCGGUUCUCUGGGCCUUACCUGACGCUGAGGAGCGAAAGCGUGGGGAGCGAACAGG